UAUUCCUUUACAUGUUAUAUGUUAAGCUCUACCGGGCAAUCUGUAUGUUAUAACUUUUUUUUUCACAAGUGUCCGAUCACUUUGCGGUCUUCGGCAAAGUUUUUCGGCAUAUCCUAGGCAAUACUUCAACGUCAUUAGUUAGAUUGUUUUAGACGAAAAAUUUCAAUUUAUGAGGAAAAUGUCAAAACGCACAUUUUCUCAUAAUAAAUUCCAUACAAAUUUCAGUCGCAAUGCGGAAUACGGGGAAGUAAUAAAUCGCUCCCAAAUUUUGCACAGUUGUUUUGGACGCCAAAAGGAAUCGAAAAAGCACAGACAAACAGACGUAACACUUCGAACAUUUUUCGAUUUAAAUCAUAGUCACGGAAACAUAUUCGCCCAAUGCUAAAAGCACUAAGUUUGGCCGACCAUCAACUAGGUGGCGGUAGUGAGCAAACGUCAAACUCGAACAAAAACGAUACGAGCGCCACGGGUGGGCAGUUGGCCAACAACCAUAUUUUGAAAAAGACCGAUAAAUCGGUGUACGAUGGAAAUUAUCAGAGUGUUACGUCUGUUUGUCUGUGGAAAAAGCUUUGUUCCAAAAAAAUCGACUUUGUUGACCCAGUCUAUUACAUAUUGAUACAAAAUUUAUAAUUUGCUGAUUCUGGGUAAUGGUCAUGCUAUUGAUUUAAAUUGGCUUGAACUUUAGUAAGUCUUUUUAGGGUGACUGGAUAUUAUCGACAGGUUUGUUCUCUUCGUUAUGAGGGGCUUGGUUGGGAAAGAUUUGAGGCCAACUUUGAAU
This is a long non-coding RNA of Aedes albopictus (Asian tiger mosquito), 778 nucleotides long. RefSeq lists it as uncharacterized. The transcript is spliced from 2 exons. The record is from RefSeq and is a predicted model, not a curated record. Lineage: Eukaryota; Metazoa; Arthropoda; Insecta; Diptera; Culicidae.